CAGCAGCCACGGUAAUACGUAGGGUGCAAGCGUUAAUCGGAAUUACUGGGCGUAAAGCGUGCGCAGGCGGUUUGUUAAGACAGAUGUGAAAUCCCCGGGCUCAACCUGGGAACUGCAUUUGUGACUGGCAAGCUAGAGUGUGGCAGAGGGGGGUGGAAUUCCGCGUGUAACAGUGAAAUGCGUAGAUAUGCGGAGGAACACCGAUGGCGAAGGCAGCCCCCUGGGCCAACACUGACGCUCAUGCACGAAAGCGUGGGGAGCAAACAGGAUUAGAUACCCCAGUAGUCCCUGUCUCUUAUAC
This 301-nucleotide ribosomal RNA is filed under the name uncultured bacterium. RNAcentral describes it as "partial 16S ribosomal RNA". It matches the Rfam family "Bacterial small subunit ribosomal RNA", at positions 509 to 807 of the family's 1533-position model. The record is from RNAcentral.